This 294-nucleotide long non-coding RNA is filed under the name Mytilus galloprovincialis (Mediterranean mussel). The record is from RNAcentral. Lineage: Eukaryota; Metazoa; Mollusca; Bivalvia; Mytilida; Mytilidae.
GCGAAAACCAAGAAUAAUGCUUAUUUGGGCCCUUUUUUGGCCCUUAAUUCCUAAACUGUUGGAACCAAAACUCCCAAAAUCAAUCCCAACCUUCCUUUUGUGGUCAUAAACCUUGUGUCAAAAUUUCAUAGAUUUCUAUUUACUUAAACUAAAGUUAUAGUGCGAAAACCAAGAAAAUGCUUAUUUGGGCCCUUUUUGGCCCCUAAUUCCUAAAAUGUUGGGACAAAACUCCCAAAAUCAAUCCCAACCUUCCUUUUGUGGUCAUAAACCUUGUGUUAAAAUUUCAUAGAUUUC